CAGAAUGUUGUAUACAUAAUAAAUAAAUACUGGUGCAAUCCAGUGGUGAGCUGAUAGUAAGCCCCAGCUUUAGGAAACAGGGUUGUUCUCCAUGUGGAUGACUCUGUGCCGAAAGCAUGGGGACAGCU
Small nucleolar RNA from Alexandromys fortis (reed vole), 128 nucleotides. RefSeq annotates it as small nucleolar RNA SNORA65. The record is from RefSeq and is a predicted model, not a curated record. NCBI's taxonomy places the organism in Eukaryota, Metazoa, Chordata, Mammalia, Rodentia, Cricetidae. The transcript has a single exon.